UACGUAGGGACCAAGCGUUGCUCGGAUUUACUGGGCGUAAAGGGCGCGUAGGCGGCGUGUUAAGUCACUUGUGAAAUCUCUGAGCUUAACUCAGAACGGUCAAGUGAUACUGAUGUGCUAGAGUGCAGAAGGGGCAACCGGAAUUCUUGGUGUAGCGGUGAAAUGCGUAGAUAUCAAGAGGAACACCUGAGGUGAAGACGGGUUGCUGGGCUGACACUGACGCUGAGGCGCGAAAGCUAGGGGAGCAAACGGG
RNAcentral lists this ribosomal RNA (253 nucleotides) under uncultured bacterium. Its description in RNAcentral is "partial 16S ribosomal RNA". It matches the Rfam family "Bacterial small subunit ribosomal RNA", at positions 524 to 776 of the family's 1533-position model. The record is from RNAcentral.